RNAcentral lists this transfer RNA (72 nucleotides) under Trisopterus luscus. RNAcentral's name for it is "tRNA-Val". It matches the Rfam family "tRNA". Rfam says of the family: Transfer RNA (tRNA) molecules are approximately 80 nucleotides in length. Their secondary structure includes four short double-helical elements and three loops (D, anti-codon, and T loops). Lineage: Eukaryota; Metazoa; Chordata; Actinopteri; Gadiformes; Gadidae. The record is from RNAcentral.
CAGAGUAUAGCCAAGUCAGUAAAGCAUCUCCCUUACACCGAGAAGUCGCCCGUGCAAAUCGGACUACCCUGA